GGAGGAGUAGUAGAAAAUACAUGGCGUUCGUAUGGUAAUAACGUCCAAACGUUUGCAUAGCAGAAAAUACAUGGCCAAAUUAUAAUUUUUGAAUUAGCAUAACUAUCCCAGAAACCAUAUUUUUCCUUCAAUUUCGCCGAACCUAGUUUGAAACCUGUUUGAUUUGCCAACAACAGCCCACCCGUCUUGACUUUUUCGGUGUUUUCCGAUCACAACAGCCAACCAGACCACUUGGGUUUUGUUCCUCUCUAUGGCGCGCAGCUAUCCCUGGGAUCAGAACCAUCAUCCAACCACUAAAUGCGAUGAAUCAACUCCGUGAAACAUUUUGCACUGCCCCCAAAACUUUGCAAUUUUUUUUUACCUUUUCCCAACUUUGGAGGACUUUUCUAAUUGUUUUCCAGUCAUUUUUGACCAUUACAUGACAGUAUGUUCAGAUUCCCG
Molecule: long non-coding RNA, 441 nt
Filed under: Prunus persica (peach)
Lineage: Eukaryota; Viridiplantae; Streptophyta; Magnoliopsida; Rosales; Rosaceae
Description: long non-coding RNA (PPER_LNC006305)
Source: RNAcentral